AGGACUAACGCUGGCGGCGUGCCUAACACAUGCAAGUCGAACGAGGUAGCAAUACCUAGUGGCAGACGGGUGAGUAACGCGUGGUCAACCUACCUCUUAGUGGGGGAUAACUAGCCGAAAGGUUAGCUAAUACCGCAUACGAUCGUCGCGAGGCAUCUCGUGACGAUGAAAGGAGCAAUUCGCUAAGAGAGGGGACUGCGUCCCAUUAGUUAGUUGGUGGGGUAAUGGCCUACCAAGACUCCGAUGGGUAGCUGGCUUGAGAGAGCGACCAGCCACACUGGAACUGAGACACGGUCCAGACUCCUACGGGAGGCAGCAGUGAGGAAUUUUCCGCAAUGGGCGCAAGCCUGACGGAGCGACGCCGCGUGUGGGAAGAAGGCCUUCGGGUCGUAAACCACUGUCGAAGGGGACGAUAUUGACGGUACCCUUGGAGGAAGCCCCGGCUAACUACGCGCCAGCAGCCGC
This 465-nucleotide ribosomal RNA is filed under the name uncultured bacterium. RNAcentral's name for it is "SSU rRNA". It matches the Rfam family "Bacterial small subunit ribosomal RNA", at positions 26 to 518 of the family's 1533-position model. The record is from RNAcentral.